This 239-nucleotide long non-coding RNA is filed under the name Gossypium barbadense (sea-island cotton). RNAcentral's name for it is "long non-coding RNA (GBAR_LNC003700)". Lineage: Eukaryota; Viridiplantae; Streptophyta; Magnoliopsida; Malvales; Malvaceae. The record is from RNAcentral.
AUUAAAGGGACGACAUCUUAAAACUAGGAUGUGUGUAAAUAUUUAUUUUAAUUAAUGACCGAAAUUGGACUGUACUGACUGGUAAUGUCUCGUAACCCUGUUCCGAUGACGGUAUAGGAUUAGGGGGCGUUACAUUUAGUGGUAUCAGAGCUAUUCAGGUUUAGCCGAUUCUCGGACUAAAUCGAACUCGGAAUUGAGUCUAGGGGUACAUGCCAUAAUUGAGUCGAAAUUGAGUCGGG